AACGAGCGACGUGACAUAAGAGGUCCCAAGGGAGCAAACCUGAAAGCCAGAACCUCCUGAAUACACAGACUGCCAGGGGGCCAGAUGAUGUUAGACACUCCGAAGAUAUAAGAAGCAUCACUUCCUUCAGAUAGAGUCGGGUCUUGCUCUCUCACCUAGGCUGGAGUACAGUGACAGUGACCACUGCAACCUCCACCUCCCAGGCUCAAGCGAUCCUCCUGCUUCAGCACCCCCACACCAGGCAACAUAACAAGACCCCCAUCUCUACAAAAAAUUAAAAAAGAAUUGUCAGGUCAGAUCCUGGCAGCAGCUGCAGCGGCUCUCCUUGCCAUUUCCUUUUCACUUUUGGAAACAUGGGCUCCCAUGUGGCUGUCUUUGAUGAUGUCAUCCAGUUGUUCAGUGACAUGAAAGUGUGCAAGUCUUCAACACUAGAAAAGGCGAAGAAGCGCAAGAAGUUGCUGCUCUUCUGCCUGAGUGAGUACAAGAAGAACAUCAUUCUCGCAGAGGCCAACAAGAUCCUGGUAAUUAAUGUGGACCAAACCAUUGAUGAUCCCUAUACCACCUUUGUCAAGAUGCUGACAGGUAAGGACUGCCCUACGCCCCCUAUGAUGCCACCAAGGACAGCAAGAAGAAGGACCUGGUGUUUGUCUUCUGGGCCUCUGAGUCUGCAUCCACUAAGAGCAAAAUGAUCUAUGCCAGCUCCAAGGACACCAUCAAGAAGAAGCUAGGGGUCAGCACCCUCAUCUUCCUGGAGGACAAACCUUUGUGAUCCCCUCCAGUCCCUUUCCUGGAGAAUCUAGUAGUCCCAGACCUGCCCUCAGGGAUUGCAGGCUGCCCCCUUCCUGCCAGACUGGAGGGGCUGGGGGAAUCCCAGCAGAGGGAAGGCACUCCCUUUACCCCCAUUGCCAAACAGACCCCCAACUCCCUGGAUUUUCCUCCUCUCUCCAUCCCUGACAGUUCUGGCCUUCCCAAACUGCUUGGAUAUUCUGCUUCCUCUUGGGUUGAAGCAGACCAACUUCCCCCAGGAACCCCAGUUGGGGAAGGCCUAUAUAUAUAUUUUAAAAACAACCCCGCUCUCCACCUGUUCCUCCCCCUUCCCAUGCUACAACUUCUAACCACAACAGUGACUCUGUGCUUGUCUGUUUAGUUCUGUGUAUAAAUGGAAUGUUAUGGAGAUGACCCCUUCCCACGCCAGCUGGUUCCUCUCCCUUGGUUAUGGCCACUAAUGGAAACCAGACUAGUAAGCGACCUUUAAUUUAAAAAAAAAAGAAAAGACAAUAAAAUAAUACUCAAAUGUUUAAGCAGAUUUCCCUAAACAGAAAGAGUAGAAUAGAAUUCAUAUGAAUAAGCAAACAAUUUAAUUGUUACUACUGGGCAUUAUGGUAUGGAUUUUGCUUUCCUACAGAAAAUAACUCCACAACUGAUUUUAUUAGUAUAUAAUUAAUUUCUUGCUAAGAGUCAUUUUCACUUAUCUCGCCAUUGGAUAUUUGUGAAAUCACUAAUAUUUCUUUUAUCCAUCAUUCAUAUGUAAGUAAAUAAGUACCUUACUUCCUCUUUCCAGGCAAGCAGUGGUUCCAAAUAUAGCCAUGUGUCACAUAACAGGGAUUUGUUCUGACAUGAAUCCAUAGACAAUUUUGUCUUUGUGCAAACAUGAUAAAGUGUACUUGCACAAACCUAGAUGGUGUAGCCCACUACACACCUAAGCUAUGUGGUAUAGUCUGUUGCUUCUAGGCUACAAACCUGUACAGCAUGCUACUAUACUGAGUACUGUAGCCAAGUGUAACAUAAUGGUCAGUAUUUGUGUAUCUAAAUAUACCUAAAUAUAGAAAAGGUACAGUAAAAAUAUGGUAUAAAAGAUAAAUGGUAUACCUGUAUAAGGCAUUUACUAUGAAUGGGACUUGCAGGACUGGAAGUUGCUCUGGGUGAGUCAAUGAGUGAGUGGUGAGUCACUGUGAAGGCCUAGGACAUUAUUGUACACUACUGUAAACUGCAUAAACACUGUACACUAGGCUAUAAUUUAUAAAAAAUUUCUUCAAUAAGUUAUUAAAUAAUAACAAAGUAAUAAGUUAUUAUUACAUAUCAA
Molecule: RNA transcript, 2083 nt
Organism: Mandrillus leucophaeus (drill)
Lineage: Eukaryota; Metazoa; Chordata; Mammalia; Primates; Cercopithecidae
Gene name: cofilin-1 pseudogene
Exons: 3
Source: RefSeq, a predicted model, not a curated record